AGGGGUGUGGCUUAGUGGUAAAACACUCGACUAGCAUCCAUGAGGUCCUGGGUUCUGCCCCAGCACCACUA
RNAcentral lists this transfer RNA (71 nucleotides) under Fukomys damarensis (Damara mole-rat). It matches the Rfam family "tRNA". From Rfam's summary of the family: Transfer RNA (tRNA) molecules are approximately 80 nucleotides in length. Their secondary structure includes four short double-helical elements and three loops (D, anti-codon, and T loops). The record is from Rfam by way of RNAcentral. Lineage: Eukaryota; Metazoa; Chordata; Mammalia; Rodentia; Bathyergidae.